CCUGGAAUGGAAUCCAGGGGCAAGCACAGGAGGGGUACGGCUGGAAAAACCGCCGUGCAACCCAAAGGUGUGACGCAUACCGAACUAAAGUAGGGAAAUGUGUGAGCCGGCUGCCGAGAAAAGCCGCUAUUGUUUGUACUGUACCCGUACCGUAAACCGACACAGGUGGAUGAGGAGAGAAUCCUAAGGCCGACGGAAGAAGCAUUGCUAAGGAACUCGGCAAAAUGACCCUGUAACUUCGGGAGAAAGGGUGCCUCGAAAGAGGCCGCAGAGAAUAGGCCCAAGCAACUGUUUAGCAAAAACACAGGUCUAUGCAAAACCGCAAGGUGAAGUAUAUGGGCUGACGCCUGCCCGGUGCUGGAAGGUUAAGGGGAGAUGUCAGGAGACGAAGCACCGAACUUAAGCCCCAGUAAACGGCGGCCGUAACAAUAACGGUCCUAAGGUAGCGAAAUUCCUCGUCGGGUAAGUUCCGACCCGCACGAAAGGCGUAAUGAUUUGGGCGCUGUCUCGGCAAUGCAUCCGGUGAAAUUGAAGUGCCAGUGAAGAUGCUGGCUACCCGCGCCAGGACGGAAAGACCCCAUGGAGCUUUACUCCAGCUUGAUACUGGGAUUCGGUAUUGUAUGUACAGGAUAGGUGGGAGGCUGAGAAAUGGUGACGCCAGUCGCCAUGGAGCCGCUGUUGGGAUACCACCCUUGCAGUACUGGAUUUCUAACCAGCAGCCGUGAUCCGGCUGGGGGACAAUGUCAGGUGGGGAGUUUGACUGGGGCGGUCGCCUCCGAAAGGGUAUCGGAGGCGCUCAAAGGUUCCCUCAGAAUGGUCGGAAACCAUUCGAAGAGUGCAAAGGCAGAAGGGAGCUUGACUGCGACACCGACGGGUGGGGCAGGUACGAAAGUAGGACUUAGUGAUCCGGUGGUAUUAAGUGGGAAUGCCAUCGCUCAACGGAUAAAAGCUACCCUGGGGAUAACAGGCUUAUCACUCCCAAGAGUUCACAUCGACGGAGUGGUUUGGCACCUCGAUGUCGGCUCAUCGCAUCCUGGGGCUGUAGUAGGUCCCAAGGGUUGGGCUGUUCGCCCAUUAAAGCGGUACGCGAGCUGGGUUCAGAACGUCGUGAGACAGUUCGGUCCCUAUCCGGCGUGGGCGUAGGAUAUUUGAGAGGAGCUGACCUUAGUACGAGAGGACCGGGUUGGACUGACCUCUGGUGCACCGGUUGCCAUGCCAAUGGCACAGCCGGGUAGCCAAGUCGGGAAGGGAUAAACGCUGAAGGCAUCUAAGCGUGAAGCCCCCCUCAAGAUGAGAUAUCCCCCGCAUAAGCGGUAAGACCCCUUGAAGACGACGAGGUAGAUAGGGCAGAGGUGGAAGUGCAGUAAUGUAUGGAGCUGACUGCUACUAAUAGGUCGAAGGCUUGAAA
This 1408-nucleotide ribosomal RNA is filed under the name metagenome. RNAcentral describes it as "bacterial LSU rRNA". It matches the Rfam family "Bacterial large subunit ribosomal RNA", at positions 1491 to 2925 of the family's 2925-position model. The record is from RNAcentral.